UACGAAGGUGGCAAGCGUUGUUCGGAUUUACUGGGCGUACAGGGAGCGUAGGCGGUUGGAUAAGCCCUCCGUGAAAUCUCCAGGCUUAACCUGGAAAGUGCAGAGGGGACUGUUCAGCUAGAGGAUGGGAGAGGAGCGCGGAAUUCCCGGUGUAGCGGUGAAAUGCGUAGAGAUCGGGAGGAAGGCCGGUGGCGAAGGCGGCGCUCUGGAACAUUUCUGACGCUGAGGCUCGAAAGCAUGGGGAGCAAACAGG
This 253-nucleotide ribosomal RNA is filed under the name uncultured bacterium. RNAcentral describes it as "partial 16S ribosomal RNA". It matches the Rfam family "Bacterial small subunit ribosomal RNA", at positions 524 to 776 of the family's 1533-position model. The record is from RNAcentral.